CAGCCACCGUGCGCAACGGGGCUGCAGCGCCGGGCGCAAGUGUUGCCGCCUGGCAGGCAGACUACACGCCACACAUCUGCUGAUGCUACGCUUGGUAGGCGUGUGCUGCGCUAGAGGAGUGCACUGUGGCUGAAAGUGUCGCCAGAUUUCUCGAUAGCUGUUACAACCGCUAAUUGCUGUGGUCGUUCGGAAGAGUUGUGCUUCAGCUUACGAGGUGGUCUGGAGGAUACUACAGCAGUUAUGCACCAGGAUGUGGAAUGCUGACAACAACAUAAGGAUCGUCCCACAGCAGACGCCACUUCGCGUAAAACAAUUGAAGAGCAGACAACGUAUAUUGGUGAAAUAUCGAUAAAAGGGAAUCCACAGAGAGCCAAGGAGGUCAGCACUGGUGGAGCAGCUAUUCACGCAAGUACACUUAUAUUGUAUUAGAGAGAGUAUUAGAGGAUGUACCACAGUUGCAGUGUUAUUCAGCUUUUAGAGCUACUAUAAAGUUUUAUUUCCGUAAACUGUAAAUUUGGCGUCCCGUAACGCAAUCAUUACUAAACUGCUACAAGAUUGUUUUUGUAAAUGCUUACCGACUGUGACAUCAGAAACAUUGUUGCUUGAUACAAAACUUAAGAGAUGAGCAACAUUAAUGUUAAUUUUUCGAUGGAGCAUAUUAGCUCUUUUUUAAUUUUUGAGAGUUUUUGGUUAUGGUAAAGACCCAGUGACAAAUGACGAAUAUACAGCUACA
Schistocerca gregaria is the source of this 733-nucleotide long non-coding RNA. RefSeq lists it as uncharacterized. The transcript is spliced from 3 exons. Lineage: Eukaryota; Metazoa; Arthropoda; Insecta; Orthoptera; Acrididae. The record is from RefSeq and is a predicted model, not a curated record.